This 1207-nucleotide long non-coding RNA is filed under the name Rattus norvegicus (Norway rat). Its description in RNAcentral is "long non-coding RNA NONRATT012800". The record is from RNAcentral. Lineage: Eukaryota; Metazoa; Chordata; Mammalia; Rodentia; Muridae.
CGGAGGCGCGCAGCGCGGGAGGCGGCUCGCGGGGGCGCGCCAGGACGCUCAAGCAAACAGUAGCGGCUGGAGCCGGCACCCGCCCCGCCCCGCAGGCCCCGCCCCACCCCGCGCGUCGGCCAAUCGGGUCCUGCGGACGGCACGUGACUAGCGGGUCGCCAUCUUGAAAGGCUGGCUAAAAAAGCCUCUUCGCCCCCACCUCAUACUUCAAAACCCCCAAGGCCAGGUUGCAGGUGAAAAGGGGCACGACCUCAGGUGCCCGGGCGGCGGCGCGCACUAACAUGUCAUGGUUACCUUCUUAGGGCCGCGGCCUUUGUGGGGCACGCAGCCUCUCAGGCAGCCGAGGUGAGAAGACCGCUCUCAGCCCAGCAAGCACACUUCCCGGAGAUGACGUCACUCCCGAGCCCUGCAGGCCUGCGAUGACCUCAUAGCUCACCUCGCCUCUCGACUCUCGUUUUCUGUUCCGUUUCGCGGCGCCUUUAAAAAGCUGGGACAACCCAGAUGGCUGAAGAGACCAAUGGCUGAGGUCCCAUGCAAAUGAUUUAACGUCUCCCGGGCAGGGGGAUUGGUCCUGCGUAUGAUGACGUCACAGAAACAUUUCGCCACCCCGCCUCCAGCGCGGCCCGGGAAAAGGGGUGGAGAGACUCUAGUUCAGCAGUAGUAGGAAGAGCUGGAAUCCCUUGUACCAAACCCAGGGAAGUUUCUGCACUUUAGUUCUCUAUGCCUCCCAACACGUGUGAGCCUAGGGAUUAUGACAAGGAGUCCACUAUACCCUAGAGGAGAGUCACUCCACCAGGACCGGUGGAUCAAUGUGAGUUCGAGAACAGACUGGUCUACAUAGCUACAGAGACCUUGUCUUCAAAAGACAAACAACAAAGUAUCACACACCAGGAAACACAGCUGAGAGAAGAGAUGGAGCAGACAUCGGUCUCCCCUUAGACUGUCCUCCAGGCAAACGUACAAAGUGGGGUAUGGUGUCUGCACCGAUUAUAUAAGCUUCUGCAUCUAUCUGCAUUACCUAAAGCACUCAUGUCUACUAGGAUGGUCUGUAGUAACUGGAUUCUUCCAGCGCCCACCAACCUAGAACAAGGUGUCAGUAGAAAAUGGCAACAUUUGUUAAACCUCUGUGGCUACAGACUGGUGACACUCUGUAUUUUGUAGAUGUAUCCCAUAAUCUCAAAUACUAAAAAAAUCAAACUAAUUUGCU